RNAcentral lists this transfer RNA (76 nucleotides) under Thermaerobacter marianensis DSM 12885. RNAcentral's name for it is "tRNA-Lys". It matches the Rfam family "tRNA". From Rfam's summary of the family: Transfer RNA (tRNA) molecules are approximately 80 nucleotides in length. Their secondary structure includes four short double-helical elements and three loops (D, anti-codon, and T loops). Further hydrogen bonds mediate the characteristic L-shaped molecular structure. tRNAs have two regions of fundamental functional importance: the anti-codon, which is responsible for specific mRNA codon recognition, and the 3' end, to which the tRNAs corresponding amino acid is attached (by aminoacyl-tRNA synthetases). tRNAs cope with the degeneracy of the genetic code in two manners: having more than one tRNA (with a specific anti-codon) for a particular amino acid; and 'wobble' base-pairing, i.e. permitting non-standard base-pairing at the 3rd anti-codon position. The record is from RNAcentral. Lineage: Bacteria; Bacillati; Bacillota; Clostridia; Eubacteriales; Clostridiales Family XVII. Incertae Sedis. RNAcentral also lists the same sequence under 2 other names.
GGGCCAUUAGCUCAACUGGCAGAGCACCCGGCUUUUAACCGGGGUGUUGGGGGUUCGACUCCCUCAUGGCCCACCG